Liolophura sinensis is the source of this 117-nucleotide small nuclear RNA. Lineage: Eukaryota; Metazoa; Mollusca; Polyplacophora; Chitonida; Chitonidae. The record is from RefSeq and is a predicted model, not a curated record.
GUGUUGUAAGAAAGGAGAGAAGGUUAGCACUCCCCUUGAUAAGGACGGAUGGGACCCUCGUGGUCUACAACACACAUAAGGCUAUGCCCUCUACUUCGGGGCGCCCUAUUUUUUUUU